Non-coding RNA from Pelobates cultripes (western spadefoot toad), 921 nucleotides. NCBI's taxonomy places the organism in Eukaryota, Metazoa, Chordata, Amphibia, Anura, Pelobatidae. The record is from the annotation of a GenBank genome assembly.
CUCAGCAUGGUAGAAUGUUUUUUUGUGUGUUUUUUUGACACUAUACAAGGGAGACUUUGUCAUCACGGGUUACUACUAGCAAAAACUGUUUUGUAUUAAACCACUGUUUUUAGUUAGAGUAACACUUUAAGAACACCUCUAGUGGUUGUCACGUAGAUAGCCAUUGUAGGUACUUCCUAUUAUGGUCUUGCAAUAUUUGCAAGACCGACAUAAUUAAACUCUGAAUAAUUACAUCACACAAAUGGGUAGGCAGUGGCCCAAGCAAAGGGAAUCCCUCAAAACCCUUUGGAGAGAACAAGAACAACAAAAGAAAAUGGAAGCACUGUGCCACAGGUAAACACUAAUAGUACAACUUAUUUGGCACAAAAGCAGAACUAGAUCUGGUGCAAAAAUCUCACAAAGAAAGUUUUUAUAAUCCAAAGAUGAAAAUGGUCAGUGCUUGAUAGGAUGUAUUGUCCCCAGUUCAGAUUUGGAAGAGCUAUAGCCAGCUCUAGCAGUAUAGGCAUACAGCGGUAUAAUCCCCACUUUAAAGGAUAUGCAGCAAAUGUCCACCACGCCCACACACUCAGGAAGGAAUAAAAAGGCAACAGAUAGUGCUCUCAAUAAAAUAGAGUAAUCGCUAAUAAAAUGAAGUAAAAUUAUACUUACAAUGAUAGAGCAGGCUAACUGCUCUAUGAACACAGCGUUGGUGGUAUUAUCCCCACCUUGGGAUUACCUGAAGUAUAAAAUUUAAAAUUACCAGGGAAAGUGCAUAUAACAAAGGAGAUUGGCACACAAAGGUGACCAAAAAACCAUAAGUUAAAACACACAAUAUUAAAUGUCCAUAACGCGUUUCACCUUUACAGGCUUUAUCAAUGGAGUAAAAAAGGUACUCCUGGUAUCAUAACCAGGACCAAGUAUUGUAAUGGUAAUGAUGCCCAG